This 253-nucleotide ribosomal RNA is filed under the name uncultured bacterium. RNAcentral describes it as "partial 16S ribosomal RNA". It matches the Rfam family "Bacterial small subunit ribosomal RNA", at positions 524 to 776 of the family's 1533-position model. The record is from RNAcentral.
UACGGAGGGUGCGAGCGUUGUCCGGAAUCACUGGGCGUAAAGGGCGCGUAGGUGGCGCGGCAGGUCAACGGUGAAAGCUCGACGCUCAACGUCGAGUCGGCCGUCGAUACUGCCGCGCUGGAGCACUGUAGAGGCUCAUGGAAUUCCGGGUGUAGCGGUGGAAUGCGUAGAGAUCCGGAAGAACACCGGUGGCGAAGGCGGUGAGCUGGGCAGUAGCUGACACUGAGGCGCGACAGCGUGGGGAGCAAACAGG